AUUGAGUCAUAAUCGACACAUGUACGAGUCGCAUUUAGGAAUUUGAGACGCGUAUUAAAAAAAAAAAAAAAAAAAUAAAUAAAAAAGAAAAAUAAAGGUGACGAGCCGAGAAGUUGCGUCG
Molecule: long non-coding RNA, 121 nt
Organism: Frieseomelitta varia
Lineage: Eukaryota; Metazoa; Arthropoda; Insecta; Hymenoptera; Apidae
Exons: 3
Source: RefSeq, a predicted model, not a curated record